RNAcentral lists this long non-coding RNA (213 nucleotides) under Elaeis guineensis (African oil palm). RNAcentral's name for it is "long non-coding RNA (EGUI_LNC007761)". Lineage: Eukaryota; Viridiplantae; Streptophyta; Magnoliopsida; Arecales; Arecaceae. The record is from RNAcentral.
UCUCAAUGCAUCUUGGAUGAACCGACUCCCUCUCAAUUCAAGAUGCUGCAAAUGGAGUCAUAAGAUGGCUCCAUCGAUCCGAUCAACCACUUAGAUAGCUAUAAGGCUCUCAUGAUGAUCUAGGGGGCAACCGAUGUCCUCUUAUGCAUUAGUUUUUCAGCAACUCUUCGGAAGGCUGCUCGAGCCUAAUAUUUCGAGCUUCAGUCGGGGAGC